GAGUACGGCCGCAAGGCUGAAACUUAAAGGAAUUGGCGGGGGAGCACUACAACGGGUGGAGCCUGCGGUUUAAUUGGACUCAACGCCGGAAGACUCACCGGGGGCGACAGCAAUAUGUAGGUCAGGUUAAAGGUCUUACCUGAAUCGCUGAGAGGAGGUGCAUGGCCGUCGUCAGUUCGUACUGUGAAGCAUCCUGUUAAGUCAGGCAACGAGCAAGACCCGUGCCCACUGUUACCAGCAUAUCCUUUAUGGAUGAUGGGGACUCUGUGGGGACCGCUGCUGCUAAAGCAAAGGAAGGUGCGGGCUACGGUAGGUCAGUAUGCCCCGAAUCUCCCGGGCUACACGCGGGCUACAAUGGUUGGGACAAUGGGUAUCUACUCCGAAAGGAGUUGGCAAUCUCUUAAACCCAAUCGUAGUUCGAAUUGAGGGCUGUAACUCGCCCUCAUGAAGCUGGAAUCCGUAGUAAUCACGUUUCAACAUAGCGCGGUGAAUCUGUCCCUGCUCCUUGCACACACCGCCCGUCAAACCAUCCGAGUGGGGUAUGGGUGAGGGCACGAACUUAGUGUCGUGCUCGAACCUAAAUUUCGCAAGGAGGGUUAAGUCGUAACAAGGUAGCCGUAGGGGAAUCUGCGGCUGGAUCACCUCCU
RNAcentral lists this ribosomal RNA (647 nucleotides) under uncultured archaeon. RNAcentral's name for it is "bacterial SSU rRNA". It matches the Rfam family "Archaeal small subunit ribosomal RNA", at positions 833 to 1478 of the family's 1478-position model. The record is from RNAcentral.